This 462-nucleotide ribosomal RNA is filed under the name Streptococcus cristatus. Its description in RNAcentral is "bacterial SSU rRNA". It matches the Rfam family "Bacterial small subunit ribosomal RNA", at positions 28 to 474 of the family's 1533-position model. The record is from RNAcentral. Lineage: Bacteria; Bacillati; Bacillota; Bacilli; Lactobacillales; Streptococcaceae.
GACGAACGCUGGCGGCGUGCCUAAUACAUGCAAGUAGAACGCUGAAGGGAGAGCUUGCUCUUCUGGAUGAGUUGCGAACGGGUGAGUAACGCGUAGGUAACCUGCCUGGUAGCGGGGGAUAACUAUUGGAAACGAUAGCUAAUACCGCAUAACAUUGACUAUUGCAUGAUAGUCAAUUAAAAGGUGCAAAUGCACCACUACCAGAUGGACCUGCGUUGUAUUAGCUAGUUGGUGGGGUAACGGCUCACCAAGGCUACGAUACAUAGCCGACCUGAGAGGGUGAUCGGCCACACUGGGACUGAGACACGGCCCAGACUCCUACGGGAGGCAGCAGUAGGGAAUCUUCGGCAAUGGACGGAAGUCUGACCGAGCAACGCCGCGUGAGUGAAGAAGGUUUUCGGAUCGUAAAGCUCUGUUGUAAGAGAAGAACGAGUGUGAGAGUGGAAAGUUCACACUGUGACG